Molecule: ribosomal RNA, 440 nt
Filed under: uncultured bacterium
Lineage: Bacteria
Description: partial 16S ribosomal RNA
Rfam family: Bacterial small subunit ribosomal RNA
Source: RNAcentral
CCUACGGGGGGCAGCAGUGGGGGAUAUUGCACAAUGGGGGAAACCCUGAUGCAGCGACGCCGCGUGAGGGAAGACGGUUUUCGGAUUGUAAACCUCUGUCUUUGGGGACGAAUUGAGACGGUACCCAAGGAGGAAGCUCCGGCUAACUACGUGCCAGCAGCCGCGGUAAUACGUAGGGAGCAAGCGUUGUCCGGAAUUACUGGGUGUAAAGGGAGCGUAGACGGCAGUGCAAGUCUGGAGUGAAAGGCGGGGGCUCAACCCCGUCCGGCCGUUGAAACUGGGGGCCUUGAGUGGGCGAGAAGAAGGCGGAAUGCGUGGUGUAGCGGUGAAAUGCAUAGAUAUCACGCAGAACCCCGAUUGCGAAGGCAGCCUUCCGGCGCCCUACUGACGCUGAGGCACGAAAGUGCGGGGAUCGAACAGGAUUAGAUACCCUGGUAGUC